UGGGCAAAUGGGAAUUAAUGCUCUAACCUUUGGGGAUGCAUACCCAUCAUUCAACACAGGACUGAGAACGAGUCAGAUGUGAUGAAUAAUGAAGAUUUUAAUACUUGAAAACUACAACAACGUUCACAUUAAAGAUAGACUGAAAACAAUAAAAAUGCUAAGCUCUAAAUUAAUGCCCCAACUAAUAGCAGACGGCAAAGAUCAAGUUUAAUAAUAGGCACGAUCAUUGAAAGUUAGAAAGGCCCUCGUGAUAAAAUUGCUAAGCUAAAUGUGACAAAUGUCUUAAAUGAAACUGAUUAACAAAUAACAAAAGUUAGAAAUAGAAGUGCAAACAAUUAUUAAUUAAGUGUAACAAUUAACGAAAGUUAGAAAUGGCCUGGUCCACCAUGAAAACCAUGACGGGGUUCUUCAAGGGUUUUCAAAUUGGCACCACAUUUAUUCAAUUUUCCCACCAUGUCUUGAUAACCACGCUGGAUUAAUUCAAAUUUUCGUACCACUGUUGAGCCUUGGGCAAUCAGACCAGCAAGGACUAAGGCCGCUCCGCCCCGGAGAUCUGUAGCCUCAACACGAGUCCCGUUCAGCAUUGAACCU
Non-coding RNA from Paramuricea clavata, 591 nucleotides. Lineage: Eukaryota; Metazoa; Cnidaria; Anthozoa; Malacalcyonacea; Plexauridae. The record is from the annotation of a GenBank genome assembly.